GAAGUGGGCUGGGAGAGAGCUCUGUUUCCUUUGAGAUGAGUUAUUAAUUCUUAGGAGCCAGCCAGUUCUUCCUUAAUGCAGUGGCAGUUACCUAAUGGUGUCCUCAGUUGUGGGCUUCUAUAGCUCUCCACUCUUCCGGAGCCUGCGGCCCAGAUGGCACGACACCGCCAUGACGCAGAUAAUUGGGAAUUGUGUCUGUCUCCUGGUCCUAAGUUCAGCACUUCCUGUCUUCUCUCGAACCCUGGGGCUCACUCGCUUUGACCUGCUGGGUGACUUUGGACGCUUCAACUGGCUGGGCAAUUUCUACAUUGUGUUCCUCUACAAUGCAGCCUUUGCAGGCCUUACCACACUCUGUCUGGUGAAGACCUUCACUGCAGCUGUGCGGGCAGAGCUGAUCCGGGCCUUCGGGCUGGACAGACUGCCGCUGCCCGUCUCCGGUUUCCCCCGGGCAUCUAGGAAGACCCAGCACCAGU
RNAcentral lists this small RNA (473 nucleotides) under Pongo abelii (Sumatran orangutan). Its description in RNAcentral is "retained intron". The record is from RNAcentral. Lineage: Eukaryota; Metazoa; Chordata; Mammalia; Primates; Hominidae.